RNAcentral lists this ribosomal RNA (2994 nucleotides) under Trinickia symbiotica. Its description in RNAcentral is "bacterial LSU rRNA". It matches the Rfam family "Bacterial large subunit ribosomal RNA". Lineage: Bacteria; Pseudomonadati; Pseudomonadota; Betaproteobacteria; Burkholderiales; Burkholderiaceae. The record is from RNAcentral.
UAGGGUCAAGCGAACAAGUGCAUGUGGUGGAUGCCUUGGCGAUCACAGGCGAUGAAGGACGCGGUAGCCUGCGAAAAGCUGCGGGGAGCUGGCAAACGAGCUUUGAUCCGCAGAUCUCCGAAUGGGGAAACCCGGCCCGUAUGGGUCAUCCUAGGCUGAAUACAUAGGUCUAGUGAAGCGAACGCGGCGAACUGAAACAUCUAAGUAGCCGCAGGAAGAGAAAUCAACCGAGAUUCCCAAAGUAGUGGCGAGCGAAAUGGGAAGAGCCUGUACGUGUUAUUGGUGUGGUUAGCUGAACGUUCUGGAAAGGGCGGCCAUAGCGGGUGAUAGCCCCGUAAGCGAAAACUGCAUGAAAGGACUAGGCGUACGACAAGUAGGGCGGGACACGUGAAAUCCUGUCUGAAGAUGGGGGGACCAUCCUCCAAGGCUAAAUACUCGUGAUCGACCGAUAGUGAACCAGUACCGUGAGGGAAAGGCGAAAAGAACCCCGGGAGGGGAGUGAAAUAGAUCCUGAAACCGCAUGCAUACAAACAGUCGGAGCCCCGCUUUAAGCGCUUUCGGCGUGUUCACGAAGUGAACACGUCAAAAGACAUUAAGGCUGAAAUAGCAAGACUCAGCGCUUAAAGAGGGAUUUAAGCGCGAGAGCGCUUAAAGCGGGGUGACGGCGUACCUUUUGUAUAAUGGGUCAGCGACUUACGUUCAGUAGCAAGCUUAACCGAAUAGGGCAGGCGUAGCGAAAGCGAGUCCGAAUAGGGCGUUCAGUUGCUGGGCGUAGACCCGAAACCAGAUGAUCUAUCCAUGGCCAGGUUGAAGGUGCGGUAACACGUACUGGAGGACCGAACCCACUAGUGUUGAAAAACUAGGGGAUGAGCUGUGGAUAGGGGUGAAAGGCUAAACAAAUCUGGAAAUAGCUGGUUCUCUCCGAAAACUAUUUAGGUAGUGCCUCGUGUCUCACCUUCGGGGGUAGAGCACUGUCAUGGUUGAGGGGUCCAUUGCGGAUUACCUCGCCAUAGCAAACUCCGAAUACCGAAGAGUGUAAUCACGGGAGACAGACAUCGGGUGCUAACGUCCGGUGUCAAGAGGGAAACAACCCAGACCGCCAGCUAAGGUCCCCAAAUAUGGCUAAGUGGGAAACGAAGUGGGAAGGCUAAAACAGUCAGGAGGUUGGCUUAGAAGCAGCCAUCCUUUAAAGAAAGCGUAAUAGCUCACUGAUCGAGUCGUCCUGCGCGGAAGAUGUAACGGGGCUAAGCCAUAUACCGAAGCUGCGGGUGCACGAGCAAUCGUGCGCGGUAGGAGAGCGUUCCGUAAGCCUGUGAAGGUGUCUUGUAAAGGAUGCUGGAGGUAUCGGAAGUGCGAAUGCUGACAUGAGUAGCGAUAAAGGGGGUGAAAGGCCCCCUCGCCGUAAGCCCAAGGUUUCCUACGCAACGUUCAUCGGCGUAGGGUGAGUCGGCCCCUAAGGCGAGGCAGAAAUGCGUAGCUGAUGGGAAGCAGGUCAAUAUUCCUGCACCGUCGUGAGAUGCGAUGGGGGGACGGAUCGCGGAAGGUUGUCCGGGUGUUGGACGUCCCGGUCGCUGCAUUGGAGAAGGCGCUUAGGCAAAUCCGGGCGCGGAAUUCAAGGGUGUGGCGCGAGCGGCUUUAGGCCGCGAAGCAAUCGGAAGGGGUCCCAAGAAAAGCCUCUAAGCUUCAGUCUCACGAUGACCGUACCGCAAACCGACACAGGUGGGCGAGAUGAGUAUUCUAAGGCGCUUGAGAGAACUCGGGAGAAGGAACUCGGCAAAUUGGUACCGUAACUUCGGGAUAAGGUACGCCCUGGUAGCUUGACCCCCCUGCGGGGGAAGGGUGAAGGGGUUGCAAUAAACUGGUGGCUGCGACUGUUUAAUAAAAACACAGCACUCUGCAAACACGAAAGUGGACGUAUAGGGUGUGACGCCUGCCCGGUGCCGGAAGAUUAAAUGAUGGGGUGCAAGCUCUUGAUUGAAGUCCCGGUAAACGGCGGCCGUAACUAUAACGGUCCUAAGGUAGCGAAAUUCCUUGUCGGGUAAGUUCCGACCUGCACGAAUGGCGUAACGAUGGCCACACUGUCUCCUCCCGAGACUCAGCGAAGUUGAAGUGUUUGUGAUGAUGCAAUCUCCCCGCGGCUAGACGGAAAGACCCCAUGAACCUUUACUGUAGCUUUGCAUUGGACUUUGAACCGAUCUGUGUAGGAUAGGUGGGAGGCUAUGAAACCGGAACGCUAGUUUCGGUGGAGCCGACCUUGAAAUACCACCCUGGUUUGUUUGAGGUUCUAACCUUGGCCCGUGAUCCGGGUCGGGGACAGUGCAUGGUAGGCAGUUUGACUGGGGCGGUCUCCUCCCAAAGGGUAACGGAGGAGUACGAAGGUACGCUAGGUACGGUCGGAAAUCGUGCUGAUAGUGCAAUGGCAUAAGCGUGCUUAACUGCGAGACCGACAAGUCGAGCAGGUGCGAAAGCAGGUCAUAGUGAUCCGGUGGUUCUGUAUGGAAGGGCCAUCGCUCAACGGAUAAAAGGUACUCUGGGGAUAACAGGCUGAUACCGCCCAAGAGUUCAUAUCGACGGCGGUGUUUGGCACCUCGAUGUCGGCUCAUCUCAUCCUGGGGCUGUAGCCGGUCCCAAGGGUAUGGCUGUUCGCCAUUUAAAGAGGUACGUGAGCUGGGUUUAAAACGUCGUGAGACAGUUUGGUCCCUAUCUGCCGUGGGCGUUGGAAGUUUGAGGGGGGCUGCUCCUAGUACGAGAGGACCGGAGUGGACGAACCUCUGGUGUACCGGUUGUCACGCCAGUGGCAUCGCCGGGUAGCUAUGUUCGGAAGAGAUAACCGCUGAAAGCAUCUAAGCGGGAAACUCGCCUCAAGAUGAGACUUCCCCGGGGCUUCGAGCCCCUUGAAGGGUCGUUCAAGACCAGGACGUUGAUAGGUCGGGUGUGUACACGCAGUAAUGCGCUGAGCUAACCGAUACUAAUUGCCCGUAAGGCUUGAUCCUA